This 408-nucleotide ribosomal RNA is filed under the name uncultured bacterium. RNAcentral's name for it is "partial 16S ribosomal RNA". It matches the Rfam family "Bacterial small subunit ribosomal RNA", at positions 29 to 526 of the family's 1533-position model. The record is from RNAcentral.
AGUGAACGCUGGCGGCGUGCCUAAUACAUGCAAGUCGAACGGAGUGGCGCACGGGUGAGUAAUGUAUAGCUAAUCUGCCCUACACUAGAGGACAACAGUUGGAAACGGCUGCUAAUACUCUAUAGUGUAGGAUGAGGCUAUAUUGUAUCAGCUAGUUGGUGAGGUAAUGGCUCACCAAGGCUAUGACGCAUAACUGGUCUGAGAGGAUGAUCAGUCAAAACGGAAGUGGGACACGGUGCAGACCUCUACGGGAGGGAGGAGGAGGGAAAAUUGGUCAAUGGGGGAAACCCUGAAGCAGCAACGCCGCGUGGAGGAUGACACUUUUCGGAGCGUAAACUCCUUUUGUUAGGGAAGCGGUACCUAACGAAUAAGCACCGGCUAACUCCGUGCCAGCAGCCGCGGUAAUAC